GGAUAUUAUUGUCUACAUACGUUUGCCAGAAUCAUGCAGCUUCUCUAUUCUGGCUUUCCUAGCAGGUGUCUCUUUAAGUACUUAUUCUAAAUGGAACACAACUGGGCGACAUCAGAAAGGGCACUGUUGACAACUGUCAUAGCAGGUUCCAGCUUGAAUGGUAACUGAGCAGAAGGUAUCUCUCCAGAGUACUUCAGAUCAUCCUAAAAGCAGCAUCAUUUCCACCAGGGACCCAGCUUCUACCAGAAAAGAGUGCUGGGAAAUGGUGCUUCUGGUUAUUUGAAAUUUCAGAUGGUAACAAGUUUGGAAUUGUCUUUUUCUUCAGCUAUGGACUGUAUCAAAGUUUAUGGGCUAUAAUUGUAUUUUGGUUUCUGCCAGGCAUCAGCAUAGCUCAUUUGCAUGACUGGUAUAAAAUUUACUUAUUCAGUGAAUCAUGCUCA
This is a long non-coding RNA of Pan troglodytes (chimpanzee), 440 nucleotides long. RefSeq lists it as uncharacterized. NCBI's taxonomy places the organism in Eukaryota, Metazoa, Chordata, Mammalia, Primates, Hominidae. The record is from RefSeq and is a predicted model, not a curated record. The transcript has 2 exons.